GUUGGUGAACCAGCGGAGGGAUCAUUACCGAGUUUACAACUCCCAAACCCCUGUGAACAUACCUAUACGUUGCCUCGGCGGAUCAGCCCGCGCCCUGUAAAAAGGGACGGCCCGCCCGAGGACCCUAAACUCUGUUUUUAGUGGAACUUCUGAGUAAAACAAACAAAUAAAUCAAAACUUUCAACAACGGAUCUCUUGGUUCUG
This 204-nucleotide unclassified non-coding RNA is filed under the name rhizosphere metagenome. RNAcentral describes it as "partial ribosomal RNA internal transcribed spacer region". The record is from RNAcentral.